Long non-coding RNA from Papaver somniferum (opium poppy), 454 nucleotides. RefSeq lists it as uncharacterized. The record is from RefSeq and is a predicted model, not a curated record. The transcript has 3 exons. Lineage: Eukaryota; Viridiplantae; Streptophyta; Magnoliopsida; Ranunculales; Papaveraceae.
CUUCUUUUUCAUUCUUCUUAUCUUUCAUUCUUCCCCGUUCCUUCUUCUUUCCUUAUUUUGGUCGAUUUUGUCGACGAAGCUAGCUUAAUUCUAUGCGAGUGAUUCAUCAAGGUUUAUUAGUUAGUUGUAUGAUGGAGAGGGUGAUGGUGCUGAAGUUGUUCGAUUACAGGAAGAAGCAGAAAAGGUUAGUCGUUAUUAAUAACGAUCGAUUCAACGGAUGAUCUUGUAGACAUCGGAUCUCGAGGUAGGCGAGGCUUGUCAUCAAAACAGGUGGAAACUAUGUAACCUUCUGUUUCAGUAUUCAGAAGAGGUGGUGCGCAUGAAGAUAUUCGUUUCGUAGUUUGAAACUUUAGCCGAUUAAGAACGUUUAUGGAUCUUUUAUAUAUAUGUAUUCUUUGUUUAUCUGUAAAACAACACAUUAAUAUAUUUAUAUCACUUGAGAGUUUUCAUCUAU